GAUGAACGUUGGCGGCGUGCCUAAUACAUGCAAGUCGAACGGAGAUUGUAGCAAUACGGUCUCAGUGGCGAACGGGUGAGUAACGCGUUGGUGACCUGCCCCGAAGUGUGGAAUAACAGAUCGAAAGAGCUGCUAAUACCGCAUAAUAUCCAGGAGAUUAGAUGCUUCUGGAUUAAAGGAUUUAUCCGCUUCGGGAGGGGCCUGCGUCCCAUCAGCUAGUUGGUAAGGUAAAGGCUUACCAAGGCGAUGACGGGUAGGGGACCUGAGAGGGUGGCCCCCCACAAUGGAACUGAAACACGGUCCAUACACCUACGGGUGGCAGCAGUAGGGAAUAUUAGUAAUGGGCGAAAGCCUGAACUAGCAACGCCGCGUGUGCGAAGAAGGCCUUCGGGUUGUAAAGCACUUUUGUAGUAGGAUGAGGAAGGACGGUACGUCUCAGAAUAAGUCUCGGCUAACUACGUG
Molecule: ribosomal RNA, 462 nt
Filed under: uncultured bacterium
Lineage: Bacteria
Description: bacterial SSU rRNA
Rfam family: Bacterial small subunit ribosomal RNA
Source: RNAcentral